Non-coding RNA from Salvelinus namaycush (lake trout), 720 nucleotides. The record is from the annotation of a RefSeq genome assembly. Lineage: Eukaryota; Metazoa; Chordata; Actinopteri; Salmoniformes; Salmonidae.
AUGCUGGACUGUACCUCCAGACUAGGAGAACCUGUGAUCUUCACUGUAACAGCUGCAGCAUCACAACACAGAGAGGUUUUUGUACCAGCAGUAAUAGGGAUUGUAUCACUGUGGUGGACUUUUGGUAGCGGCACCAGACUUGAUGUUGGAAGUAACAGUUCCCCCACCCUCACCGUCCUGCCCCCCUCUAGUGAGGAGCUGUCCAGUACAACAACAGCCACACUGACGUGUCUGGCCAACAAGGGUUUCCCCUCAGACUGGACCAUGAACUGGAAAGUGGACGGGACCAGCAAGAAGCAGGAGGCUAAUCCCGGGGUCCUGGAGAAGGAUGGCCUGUACAGCUGGAGCAGCACCCUGACUCUCACUGGCCAGGAGUGGACCAAGGCAGGAGAGGUGACCUGUGAAGCCCAGCAGAAAUCCCAGACUCCAGUCACCAAGACCCUGAGGAGGGCUGACUGUUCUGGGUAGAACCCCUCAGUCACACCCCUGUGGAGAGAGGCUGCUGGUUCCUCUGCUUUGACUCUGUUCUGAGAUCAGAUGUUCUCUGUCUUAUUGAUCACUGACAUGUAGACUAACAGAGGGCUUUGCUUGAGUUCAUGUGUCAAUCCUCUCUGUAGACUGAGGUUGUAUCAGUGUUAGAUGUGAUGUGUUCUGUUAUAUUACUAUUAGAUACUGUAGGAAUGAUUGCUUUGAUGCUUUGAUGAAUAGAUGAAAAUAAAG